This 97-nucleotide microRNA precursor is filed under the name Nicotiana attenuata. RNAcentral's name for it is "MIR6152 microRNA precursor family". It matches the Rfam family "MIR6152 microRNA precursor family". The record is from Rfam by way of RNAcentral. Lineage: Eukaryota; Viridiplantae; Streptophyta; Magnoliopsida; Solanales; Solanaceae.
UGGACAGAUUAUCGUAUUCGACUGUAUCACGGCGUGAAACGGGGGAUUACACUAUUUUAAACGGAAAGAAAGUGAAUCAAUUAACAUAAUCGCUCCU